CUGGGAUUCCCAAUGAAGCCGGCCGGAGCUGUUCCGCUGCCCCUGGAGAGCAGAGCCGUCCCAAUGCUGGAUUCCAGAUGUGCCGACUUUAAAGCAAGACAAAUGCGUUAGGAGUCACAGUCCCCGCCCUUCCCUGGGAGGAAACGUUGGGGGCGGAGGUUCAGCUUGCCUGGUUUUCCCUAUCAAAGAGAGACUGCUGCGGCCCUAGAGGAACCCAGGAAUCUGUUCCAGACUCACUCAGGUUCAGCCCGAAUGUCCCCUGUAACUAACUGGACCCAGUGGACAGCGGAGCUGAGAGCGCCGCAUAACACUGAGAUAUUACGCAAGAACGAGGCACCUGGGUACACCCUUCUCUGAUGCAACUCUUGAUCCCUCCGUGCCUCAGACUUUACAUUCAUUACCUGAUGGCUGGUCCUCUCAGUGAAGCUGGUUCUUCAACGGUCCCAAACUGGGUAUAUAGGACCAGCUAAAUCUUGGGAGCCAGGAACUCCCAGUGUAUUUGUAUACAAUGAAAAGAUUCCACUGACUUUUAUCUAUGACCUUAAAGUUUGUUUAUAGAUAUUCAGCUUGCGGGGACCAGCUUUGUGAUUUCAUUGAUGUAUACAGAACUCCUCAAUGAGGAAAUUAGAGUCAAGUCAACAACGUAUAUUUAUGAAAUGAGCAGAAGAACACAGGGGAUCCCACAACUGCAUAUGAGUCUACACUAUAAAGUAGUCAAUACUGGUGGUAUUUUGGCUUAGCUCUCAUUCUACUCUUCUUCUGUAACAUUUAAAUUUUAGUCUCUAGUAAUAAAAGUAUUAUAUCUUA
Monodelphis domestica (gray short-tailed opossum) is the source of this 807-nucleotide long non-coding RNA. RefSeq lists it as uncharacterized. NCBI's taxonomy places the organism in Eukaryota, Metazoa, Chordata, Mammalia, Didelphimorphia, Didelphidae. The record is from RefSeq and is a predicted model, not a curated record.